CCUACGGGUGGCAGCAGUGAGGAAUAUUGGUCAAUGGGCGCGAGCCUGAACCAGCCAAGUCGCGUGAGGGAAGACGGUCCUAUGGAUUGUAAACCUCUUUUGUCGGGGCGCAAAAGACGCCACGCGUGGCGUUCCGAGAGUACCCGAAGAAAAAGCAUCGGCUAACUCCGUGCCAGCAGCCGCGGUAAUACGGAGGAUGCGAGCGUUAUCCGGAUUUAUUGGGGUUAAAGUGUGCGUAGGCGGAAUAUCAAGUCAGCGGUAAAAAUUCGGGGUUCAACCCCGUCGUGCCGUUGAAACUGAUGUGCUUGAGUGGGCGAGAGGUAGGCGGAAUGCGUGGUGUAGCGGUGAAAUGCAUAGAUAUCAGGCAGAACUCCGAUUGCGAAGGCAGCAUACCGGCGCCCAACUGACGCUGAAGCACGAAAGCGUGGGUAUCGAACAGGAUUAGAUACCCUGGUAGUC
RNAcentral lists this ribosomal RNA (459 nucleotides) under uncultured bacterium. Its description in RNAcentral is "partial 16S ribosomal RNA". It matches the Rfam family "Bacterial small subunit ribosomal RNA", at positions 338 to 795 of the family's 1533-position model. The record is from RNAcentral.